RNAcentral lists this ribosomal RNA (158 nucleotides) under Ketobacter sp. RNAcentral's name for it is "partial 16S ribosomal RNA". It matches the Rfam family "Bacterial small subunit ribosomal RNA", at positions 1383 to 1533 of the family's 1533-position model. Lineage: Bacteria; Pseudomonadati; Pseudomonadota; Gammaproteobacteria; Pseudomonadales; Ketobacteraceae. The record is from RNAcentral.
GUACACACCGCCCGUCAAGCCAUGGAAGAAGAGAGCGCUCUAAGUCGUGACGCCAACCCUUCGGGGAGCUAGCGCCUAAAGCGAGAUUUUUGACUGGGGCUAAGUCGUAACAAGGUAGCCGUAUCGGAAGGUGCGGCUGGAUUACCUCCUUUCAGGAG